RNAcentral lists this transfer-messenger RNA (361 nucleotides) under Patescibacteria group. RNAcentral describes it as "JADFPI01 sp022562395 X1 Standard tmRNA". It matches the Rfam family "transfer-messenger RNA". Rfam says of the family: Bacterial tmRNA, also known as 10Sa RNA or SsrA, is named for its dual tRNA and mRNA-like properties. Its role is to liberate the mRNA from a stalled ribosome. The record is from RNAcentral.
GGGGGCGAUCGGUUUCGACGGAAAGUUCUUUAAAAGGCUGCAAGCCAAGUUUGAUUCACACUUGUCAAAAGGGAUCAAAAAUAAUCGUCAAGAACCAAUCUUACGAUGUAGUCUACGCUUAAAAAACGUUUAUAGAUUACUGUCUUCCGGGUGCGUUUCUCAACCGCUCCAGAUAGGCAUAAACCAGUUGAGAUGCUGCAACUUGUUUGGUUUAAGGGGGUUGCUUAAGACUUUUAAACCUUACCUUGAGUUAUGCUUCUGAUUGCUAAGAUUCAAGGAAAAAAUAAUAAAUCAGAUAUGCUUGUAGAAGUCUUUUGAGGUUAUUUUUCGGACGCGGGUUCAAUUCCCGCCGCCUCCACCA